This 3715-nucleotide long non-coding RNA is filed under the name Mus musculus (house mouse). RNAcentral's name for it is "long non-coding RNA chr4:137727830-137731545". Lineage: Eukaryota; Metazoa; Chordata; Mammalia; Rodentia; Muridae. The record is from RNAcentral.
AAGCUAGCUGUGCUGGAGGAGGGGCGGGGCCAAGCUCCCCAGGUACCAGGCUAGCAGUGCUGGAGGAGGGGCGGGGCCAAGCUCCCCAAUACCAAGCUAGGAGUCCUGGAGGAGGGGCGGGGCCAAGCUCCCCAAUACCAAGCUAGCUGUGCUGGGAGAGGGGCGGGGCCAAGCUCCCCAAGUACCAGGCUAGCUGUGCUGGGAAGGGGGCGGGGCCGAAUAUGGGAGCCUGAUGUGACAGCCUCUUACGUGGGGCGGUGAUCCAGAGGAUGGUAGAGGGUAGCUGGGAGGUGAAUUGAGGGUGAAGACCCCUAAGGGAGGGACCAGGCAGGGUGGGGGAACCCCAGUGCCAGUCACCCAUCCAUGCCUGCAUCUCCUUGGUGCCUCCUCUUGGCCAGUGAGGUGGCUCCCUCCUGCCCCCCUUCCCAGGCCUCACACGGUCACCCCACCCAGACGUCGGCAAGUCGGGGGACCCUGCGUGUCCCGAGAUCAAGAUCCAACUGGAAACAUCUGAGCAGCACACACCCCAGAUGGUACACGGGGACUCCUCCUGGGAGAGGGUAGAGCCGGUUGGGGACAGGGACCCAGGGACCCAAUGGCUGGGGUGCCCCACUAGGCCAGAAGGACUGGGCUCUUCCAGUGACUUCUGGUUUCCUGUGUCUCCUGCCCCCACCUCCGGCUGCAUCUGUCCCCACAGGGCUGCUAGCUGUCACCUCAUCAGCAGGCGGGACUGAGCAGGUCAGCUGGUGCUCACUUGGAUCCUCUGGGGUGGAGGAGGGGAUGAGAGCCCCCCGGGCUGGGCAGGACUCUCCAGCCUCGGUGGCUGCGGGCCUGGACUACUCUUGACACCUUUUAGCCUUGGGUUCCCUAUUUGUGCAGUGGGCACACAGUGCUGCCUCAACUCUGCCUAUGAGUUGUUAGGGAGCUUGAUGGAGCCAAAAGAACUGGGCGAGCAUGGAACAUGGGGCGAGCUAGGGAUGCCCGUGGGAUGGGAGGAGAAGCUGUUGCCAUCUUCCUCUGAGUCUCAUCUCCCGUUCCCUGCAGAGGAGGCCUCAGAAGCACAAGAAGAUGCCGCACCACAUCCAGGCAGCUGGCCCUCUGCCCCACAGCCACCCCAGCCCCUGGCGCCCCUCCCUCCAAGCCCUGGGCCCGCCCAUCUGGGCUGUCUCCGCAGGGCGGAGCCAUCCAGAGCUCUCAGAAUGGAUGCUGCCGGCAUCACCGCCCCCACCCCACCCUCAGGCUGGAGCUCUGGGUGUGGGCAGGGACUGUGGCCCUGGAUUGCCCUCACUUGGGCCUCUGUCACACCGGGUUCCCCUCUGGAGCCACGGGGAACAGGGUAGGAAAAGGAGAAGAAGCACCGUGCGCAUACAGCCCACCGCAGAAGCAGCAGGUGCAGGGUGCGCGAAUGCGCAAGCGCCGGGCAGAGUCCCGUGCGGCUUCUGCUGUGGGACGUGGGCCAGGCACCCUCAUUCUCUGGGCAUCUCUGCUGCAAGUGGACAAGAGUAUUUCAGAGAUCACUGAAGCCUGAGUCCAUGCACCUGCCCCAGGAGGGGGCCAUUGUCCUAGGGACCGCCUAUCACGCCGACUGCUUCCCGAGGCCCCGGGUGGGCUAAGGGGCUGGGUCUGCUUCACCAAUCACCCAACCUGAGUCCCCCAGCUUUACCACAGAGCUGCCAACGUCCUUUCACUGUCUCCACACGAUGGCCCAGUAUCCUUGGUUGUGGAUAGGGUCAUCCCUGGCUCCUCACCCAGCACCCAGCUUAACCCUGCCACCCCACACUCCUGGGAGCACUGGGCUGAGGGGGUCUCAGCUGGUCUGGAGUCCAGACCUCGCCAUCCCCUGCCCACCAUUGCCGUGGAGGGGGCUGCCAGGCAUAGCUGCUGUGAGCCAUGUCCUUGUGUGUGUCUGUUCACUCUUAGGAGCCACGCCCAAGGCGAGACUUCCAGCCCCAACACCCACUUUGGAAGCCCUGUGGCCACAUGUAUGUCAGUAAGGGUUGUACAAAAUAAAUUCUAUUUAUCGCUAUUGUACCCGGAGUUAAGAACAGCUUUGUGUAAACCCUGCCUAGACACACGAGGACCCAAGGUGGACAGAAUAUACCUGUCCCCUUUGGUGCUGCCGAGGCCAGGGUGCCUCCAAGGCCAGCAGGUCACAGGGUCUGUGAACACCAGCUGAGGCCUCCUCUUCAUGGCCCCACUCUCCGACCCCAUACCUGCCAUGUGUCCUUCCCUAUGGAGAAAGUGUGGUUUUGAAGUCUGCCCUGGCACCAUCUCUCCUUAGCUUGGUGGUGAGGAAUUCCAUCUCUCUCCUCUCAGAGGAACAGGAAGAGCUCAUGAUCUCCUCAGGGGCUGUAAACAUGCAGUGAGCUGGUUCCCACUGUUAACAGGCAUACAGUCUGGACAGCAUAUAACUAACAGUUUCCUUUCCCAUCUCAUGUUCCGCAAAUCCCAAGUUUCCCUUGUAUGGCCACCAGGGGGCACCAGAGGAUCACCAUCUGGGCAGAGAAGCGGACAGAGUCCCUUCCCUGCCUGAUAGCAUAGGACCACAGGCUUAAGGGUAAAAGGGUGGACAGAAAGGGCAGAGGAGGUAGAGUCUCUAGAGGAGAGGGGCUUGUGUGUGUAGAGAGUGGAGAACAUCUCAAACUGGGGGAGAGGGGGGGCUCCAAAGUGAGGACAGCCAUAGAGGAGACACGGAGAUAGGCUGGGGUGAGGCCAGAGACCACAUGGUUUUGAAUGCCAAGACUUCACGCAGAAGACAGUGGAGGGAUACACUUAGAACAGUGCUGGCUGUUAAUGGAGUGCUGGUGGGCCCGCUGGCUGGUAGAAUCCUGGAGGAUGGGUUCCCUUAAGGAAAGAGCCACAGGAGAUUCAUUCAAUGGCCUUGCAAGUAGAUAUCCAGUUGUGCUCUGAGGGAGACACCAUCUUAGUGUCCCUAGAACCCCGGUGCCCCUACCUCACUCUCACCUCCCCAGGAAGAUGCUGAGGGUACUUUGAGGCUCUCUGAGAUGUACCAUGCCGUUUUUUGACAGGGCUGUUCUAUGACCCACGGACGCCUCAGGCCACCCAGAGGCCAUGACUCAUACCCUAACUCCAGCCCUGACCAGCAGGGUUUGGCUCCAAGCUUCCCUGGCUGCGUUGUUCCUCAGCUCUACAGUGCGUUCUGCUCCAGCCUAUAGCUUGCAGUCAUGGCAUCCAGAAAUGAGCUUCCUGGGCACUGGCUCUGAGUUCACUCUCCUAGUGAGCUCGGCCCCCUGUCCCUCCUCUGUGGUCCCUGAUGUGAGGCUCAGGGAAUGAGACCUCAUGGCGAUCUUGGUGCUAGAGCUGUGGGGACUCAGAUAAUACUGAGGUGAUGUUGGGGGCAGGAGCAGAGCUGGUAUAGCCUCUGAACACAGAUAACCAUGAACAACCUUACUGCCAAGCCUUCAGAUGGUGCCGUCAGACCUGUGUCCAGAGGACAUUGCCGCACGGGCUGGCUCCACACAAGUAUAGCUGGAAUUGAGUGGUGGUGACACACACUUUUAAUCCCAGUACUCAGAAGGCAGAGGCAGGCAGAACUCUGUGGGUUCAAGGCCAGCCUGGUCUACAGAGAGAGCUCCAGGAAAGACAGGGCUACACAGAGAAACCCUGUCUUUUUAAAAAAAUGGAAGGAAGGGAAGAAAGAGGAGGAGGAAGAAAAAAGAAGAAGGAUGAAGAAGAAGAGGAGGAGGAGAAGAAG